This is a long non-coding RNA of Ictalurus furcatus (blue catfish), 1827 nucleotides long. RefSeq lists it as uncharacterized. The transcript is spliced from 2 exons. NCBI's taxonomy places the organism in Eukaryota, Metazoa, Chordata, Actinopteri, Siluriformes, Ictaluridae. The record is from RefSeq and is a predicted model, not a curated record.
CGUGUGCAGCGAGCGCUCGAUAUAAUUCGAUUGUUUUUUAAUGGUGUGUAUUUGUUGACACGGUGUAGUUUAAGGUUUAAAGACGUGUUUAUUUGAUGUUUACGGAAGGAGUCUCCAGUAUCAGCGAUCAAGACGCAGGAUCUGUCACAGCAUGUAGAGUUUUAUCAUACAGCCAGUCCAAGGCUGAUGAUGUCACCGCUGUGGAUGGACAGAUGGACGGAUGGACAGAAGGAAACUCUCUUAAACUGGUUCAGAUUCAUUUGAAUUCUUUUGAUGAUGAAAUGAGAUGAGAUUUUUCGUGCAGGGUUCCACAUCACACGACGUACUGUGCGUUUCUAAUGCAACUCUCGACGUGAAGGUUGAGGAGUAACUUUAGGAUAAAACAAGGAACCUCUCCAGACCUCCUCGGUGGUUCCACCGUGGGGGAAAGGAACAGCAUGUAGGAUGAUGUACUGUAUCAGACGUGCCCGGUAAGCUACGUUAGAACGCCGUGAAAACGCUAGAAAUGGCGGUGCAGGAGUGUGUGCUGGCCUUGAGCAGCCAUGAAUCAGCGGCGUGUGUGUGUGUAAUUCACAAAUAUAUCUACAGGAACCAUCAGCUCCUGUGCUUAUGCAGCGCUGAGUAGAGUGCGAAAACAAGGUGUGUGGCUUGAUAUUUACACUCCCGUCUAGUGCCUCUCGAAUGAUGGCUCCCUGAUGGCCGCGGGAAAAAGCAAUAAACAGCGCGCGAGGCCUUAAAGACACGCCUCGGAGACAGCGGUGGGCAAAUAACCAAAACAUUUUCACCUUUCCGCGAUGUGUUUACCCUGCUGCCGAGGUAUUAAAAAAGUGCAGAGCGAAGGGGCUGUAAUGAAAAUGUCGUGGAGGAACCGCGAGAGGCGUGCACCGCGUGAGCCUAACGCGCCGCCCGCGUCGUCUGGACGACGGUUCAAUCUGCCGGGCCGCACUGAUGAGGUCUGCAGGGGCGAGUUAUUAUCUAUCACGUAUUAUUUAUCACGCAUCAGCUCCGCGUCCGGAUUCCCUCGAGUCUCGUUUUUCAGUCCCUGCACGACUGGAAUGGAAAUGUCAAGCCAAAAUGCUAACAUUGCUAACGAUGAAGAGGGAGGGAAGAAAUCAGCGUCCAUCAGCACUGUCGAGAUCAUUCUAGCCCACGUUCGGUGACGCACGGCGUAUGAUCACUAUAAUCACGCUGUGAGGAUUUGUUCCGCCGUGCUGACGAAGUGGAUCAGGUCUGUUCUAGUAAAGACCCUUACUUCCUAGAGGUGAGGAGAAAAAGGAAAGCGUGACCCUGACGAUUGAACCGUAAGAGCUCAUACGUGGGGACGGACACGGCGGACGCCAGACUCACGUUAUCUUUGACAAGAUGUUUAUGGAAGGAGUCUCUAGUGUCACUUUAAGUUUUCCGGCACCUCCAGGACAGAGGAGUUGACACUUUGCGCUUUCAUGACAAGCCGUGUGUGUGUGUGUGUGUGUGUGUGUGUGUGUGUGUGUGUAUUUUUUUUUUUUAAAUCCUAUUAGCAUUUUUAAGAGAGAGAUAAAAUGCGGUGAAGAAACGAUUGAUUACAGCUGCUAUAGCGUAAGUGAGACCGUUCCACGACGUUGAACGUGACUACCAGCGGAUAAAAACGUAGAAUAUGUGUAUUUAAUAAAUAAAUAAUGAAUAUCGAAUUGUAAUCAUUGCCUAAAUGCUGUGCUGUAAGAGGAAUAAAGCACUUCAGGGCGUACAGUUAGGAGCUGGAAAUAACCAGCUUGUUCUUGAGCAUCAUUAGACCACUCCGUUGUGGAUUAUUCUCCUCUAACAGAAUAAAAUGGAGUGUUUUGUUUCUUA